RNAcentral lists this ribosomal RNA (88 nucleotides) under Vibrio vulnificus. RNAcentral describes it as "partial 16S ribosomal RNA". It matches the Rfam family "Bacterial small subunit ribosomal RNA", at positions 1446 to 1533 of the family's 1533-position model. Lineage: Bacteria; Pseudomonadati; Pseudomonadota; Gammaproteobacteria; Vibrionales; Vibrionaceae. The record is from RNAcentral.
GAGGACGCUCACCACUUUGUGGUUCAUGACUGGGGUGAAGUCGUAACAAGGUAGCGCUAGGGGAACCUGGCGCUGGAUCACCUCCUUA